CGGUGUGUGGCGCAGGUGGUAGCGCGCCGCGUUCGGGACGCGGAGGCCGCAGGUUCGAGUCCUGCCACACCGACCA
RNAcentral lists this transfer RNA (76 nucleotides) under Occultella aeris. RNAcentral describes it as "tRNA-Pro(cgg)". It matches the Rfam family "tRNA". From Rfam's summary of the family: Transfer RNA (tRNA) molecules are approximately 80 nucleotides in length. Their secondary structure includes four short double-helical elements and three loops (D, anti-codon, and T loops). Further hydrogen bonds mediate the characteristic L-shaped molecular structure. tRNAs have two regions of fundamental functional importance: the anti-codon, which is responsible for specific mRNA codon recognition, and the 3' end, to which the tRNAs corresponding amino acid is attached (by aminoacyl-tRNA synthetases). tRNAs cope with the degeneracy of the genetic code in two manners: having more than one tRNA (with a specific anti-codon) for a particular amino acid; and 'wobble' base-pairing, i.e. permitting non-standard base-pairing at the 3rd anti-codon position. The record is from RNAcentral. Lineage: Bacteria; Bacillati; Actinomycetota; Actinomycetes; Micrococcales; Ruaniaceae.